AUAUGCGUGGGCGCAAGCCUGACCGCCUGCCGCGGGAGUGAUGAAGGCCUUCGGGUUGUAAAGCUCUUUAGUCCACGAAUAUAAUGACUGUGGUGGAAGAAUAAGCCCCGGCUAACUUCGUGCCAGCAGCCGCGGUAAUACGAGGGGGGCGAGCGUUGUUCGGAAUCACUGGGCGUAAAGAGUGCGUAGGCGGUUAUGAAAGUUAGAAGUGAAAGCCCAGAGCUCAACUCUGGAAUUGCUUUUAAAACUACAUAACUCGAAUUCGGGAGAGGAUAGCGGAAUUGUCAGUGUAGCAGUGAAAUGCGUAGAUAUUGACAGGAACACCAGUGGCGUAAGCGGCUAUCUGGACCGACAUUGACGCUGAGGCACGA
RNAcentral lists this ribosomal RNA (371 nucleotides) under uncultured bacterium. RNAcentral describes it as "bacterial SSU rRNA". It matches the Rfam family "Bacterial small subunit ribosomal RNA", at positions 359 to 756 of the family's 1533-position model. The record is from RNAcentral.